UACGAAGGGGGCGAGCGUUGUUCGGAAUCACUGGGCGUAAAGCGCACGCAGGCGGAUCGAUAAGUCGGGGGUGAAAGCCCGGGGCUCAACCUCGGAAUUGCCUUCGAUACUGUCGGUCUCGAGUCCGGGAGAGGUGAGUGGAAGUCCUAGUGUAGAGGUGAAAUUCGUAGAUAUUAGGAAGAACACAAGUGGCGAAGGCGGCUCACUGGCCCGGUACUGACGCUGAGGCACGAAAGCGUGGGGAUCAAACAGG
RNAcentral lists this ribosomal RNA (253 nucleotides) under uncultured bacterium. RNAcentral's name for it is "partial 16S ribosomal RNA". It matches the Rfam family "Bacterial small subunit ribosomal RNA", at positions 524 to 776 of the family's 1533-position model. The record is from RNAcentral.